GACGAACGCUGGCGGCGUGCUUAACACAUGCAAGUCGAACGGAAAGGCCCUGCUUUUGUGGGGUGCUCGAGUGGCGAACGGGUGAGUAACACGUGAGUAACCUGCCCUUGACUUUGGGAUAACUUCAGGAAACUGGGGCUAAUACCGGAUAGGAGCUCCUGCUGCAUGGUGGGGGUUGGUAAGUUUCGGCGGUUGGUGAUGGACUCGCGGCUUAUCAGCUUGUUGGUGGGGUAGUGGCUUACCAAGGCUUUGCCGGGUAGCCGGCCUGGGAGGGUGACCGGCCACAUUGGGACUGAGAUACGGCCCAGACGCCAACGGGAGGCAGCAGUGGGGAGUAUUGCACAAUGGGCGGAAGCCAGAUGCAGCAACGCCGCGUGCGGGAAGACGGCCUUCGGGUUGUGAACCGCUUUCGCCUGUGACGAAGCGUGAGUGACGGUAAUGGGUAAAGAAGCACCGGCUAACUACGUG
This 468-nucleotide ribosomal RNA is filed under the name uncultured bacterium. RNAcentral's name for it is "partial 16S ribosomal RNA". It matches the Rfam family "Bacterial small subunit ribosomal RNA", at positions 28 to 507 of the family's 1533-position model. The record is from RNAcentral.